This 253-nucleotide ribosomal RNA is filed under the name uncultured bacterium. RNAcentral's name for it is "partial 16S ribosomal RNA". It matches the Rfam family "Bacterial small subunit ribosomal RNA", at positions 524 to 776 of the family's 1533-position model. The record is from RNAcentral.
UACGUAGGGUCCGAGCGUUGUUCGGAUUCAUUGGGCGUAAAGGGUGCGUAGGUGGCGUCGUAAGUCAGGUGUGAAAUCUCGGGGCUCAACCCCGAAACUGCACUUGAUACUGCGAUGCUCGAGUACUGGAGAGGAGAUUGGAAUUUACGGUGUAGCAGUGAAAUGCGUAGAUAUCGUAAGGAAGACCAGUGGCGAAGGCGAAUCUCUGGACAGUUACUGACACUGAGGCACGAAGGCCAGGGGAGCAAACGGG